GCUUGAUGCCAUAUCACCAGGGGCUAUGGUCUCAACAGAUUCUAUUUGCUAACCAGUAUUGGGCAUGGGCAGUAUUUGGUUGGGAGACCUCCAGGGAAAACCCAGGUGCUUCAGGAA
Molecule: ribosomal RNA, 117 nt
Filed under: Chrysemys picta bellii (western painted turtle)
Lineage: Eukaryota; Metazoa; Chordata; Testudines; Emydidae
Source: RNAcentral